GACGAACGCUGGCGGCGUGCUUAACACAUGCAAGUCGAACGGAAAGGCCCUGCUUUUGUGGGGUGCUCGAGUGGCGAACGGGUGAGUAACACGUGAGUAACCUGCCCUUGACUUUGGGAUAACUUCAGGAAACUGGGGCUAAUACCGGAUAGGAGCUCCUGCUGCAUGGUGGGGGUUGGAAAGUUUCGGCGGUUGGGGAUGGACUCGCGGCUUAUCAGCUUGUUGGUGGGGUAGUGGCUUACCAAGGCUUUGACGGGUAGCCGGCCUGAGAGGGUGACCGGGCACAUGAGGACUGAGAUACGGCGCAGAGUCCUACGGGAGGCAGCAGGGGGGAAUAUGGCACAGUGGGCCGAAGCCUGAUGCAGCAACGCCGCGGGCGGGAUGACGGCCUUCGGGUUGUAAACCGCUUUCGCCUGUGACGAAGCGUGAGUGACGGUAAUGGGUAAAGAAGCACCGGCUAACUACGUG
RNAcentral lists this ribosomal RNA (468 nucleotides) under uncultured bacterium. Its description in RNAcentral is "partial 16S ribosomal RNA". It matches the Rfam family "Bacterial small subunit ribosomal RNA", at positions 28 to 507 of the family's 1533-position model. The record is from RNAcentral.